AGGGGCACAGGCCCUGGGCAGAGAGGGCAGCGUGGGCGGGCACCUGCAGCCUGCUUCCCAGGGCCCUGGCACAGCGGCUGCUCAGCGGGCAGGGCCUCCCCGGGUCAGGGUGCACAGCCUGUGGUUAAGAGUCCGGGACCUGGCUGGCCUUGGUCCAGGGUCUGAAGCUAAUUACCUAGAUAACAAAGUGGCAGCUCCUAGGCGCCUCGCUGAGGUGGAGGGAGGCCAGGGCAAUGGGCAGAGGACCCUGGGCUCCUAAAAGCUCCCCUUGCCUUCCAGGCCUCAGGAGCCUGGGUGGGCUCUGGGGGCAGCCAUGGCUGGCCUUCCCGCGGUGCCCCCAGCCUUCCUGGGGUCAGUGCUAGUGAGGCGGUGUGGCUGGAGGGGGAGCUGGGUGGCCUGGGCGGGGGUGUAUUCGGAGGUCCUGGCCCCAGUGCCGGGGAGAGGCUCUAAGCAGCCAGAGAGCGAGGGUACGGUGGGCACUGUGUCUUCAGGACAGCCUCCCUGACAGCAGGUGCUGCCAACGGCCUGAGAAGAGGAAGGAGAAAGCUGUCAGGGCAGGGCCCCAGCCUGCAUGAGGCUCGCCCUGCUGGCCAGAGCACCGCUGCAGGACGCUCGGGCAGAGGGGAGGGGGCUUGCUCUGCCCCCAUUCUUUUCUUUUUAGGGGCACACCCGUGGCCAUGUGGAGGUUCCCAGGCUAGGGGUGGAAUUGGAGCCACGGCUGUUGGCCUACAGCACAGCCACAGCAUCUCGGGAUCCUUAACCCACUGAGCGAGGCCAGGGAUCAAACCCUCAUCCUCAUGGAUACUAGUCAGCUUCAUAACCCGCUGAGCCACAGUGGGAACUCCUGCUCUGCCGCCAUUCUGCUUCACGCCGUCAGUGUUCCCAGAAAGGGGUCUGCAGGCUCUGCAGCUGAGAGGGGGGCACUGCCAGCAGCCCUCAGGUCCUGGCUUGGCCCUGUCCCCACAGCACCUCUGACCUGGCAGUCACCUUCUCCCCGGGCUCUCCUGACACUGCCCAGAGGGGCCUCCUGGCAUCUUAGCUGCUGAGGGAGGAGGCGCAGCCUGUCCUGACCUGCACCCAGUGCCUCGCCACCCGAGUCUGGGCCUCGUCUGCGCUGGGCUUUCUAGCUCAGGCCGGUUGCUGCCUCAGCCAUCUUGGGCUGGAACCCAGGCCCUGGCUGGGUGAGCACAGGCCCAGGUGCCUGCCUGCCUCAGGAUCUGUCAGAACAGACAGGCAGCUAGGCUGAGGCGCAGCCCCGCAGUCCCCCCACCCCCACCCCCACCUCCCGUGGCCUGUCCUGCCCAGCACCCCGGGUGUGAUCACUAGGCGGCUGCAGGCCCCCCCUCAGGAAGCCAUGGCCCUGUCCACCUAGAAGACCCACCUGCAGCCCAGCCUGCGUCCCUGGAGCCCCCUUCCCACCAUCAGACCUUGGGGCCAUCGGUGCUCCUCCUGAGCCUUCCUUGGGCCAGACCUCACUCGGGGACCUCAUUGAGCACCCCUUCUUUCUGGAAGGGACUGCCCUGCUCCAGAUCAGGUCAGGUCAGGUCAGGUGUCUCUAGCUCCAAGACCCCCCGUACUGGGCUGGGGUGGGGGGCUUUACAAUCUGCCCCGGCCUGUCUGUCCCCUCUGCAGGCCUGGCCUCAGAGGCUUCCUGGGGCGAGGAAGUGCCUCCAGGCAGCACUCGCUCGGGACAGCCUGUCCCCAGCUGGCUGCCUCUGCACAUCACUGGGGCCGUGGUGGACACUGCCACCCAGACGGGCUGCCCGGAUCCCAAGUACUGCCUUUGCCCUCUGGCCAUGAGGACGGCCAUGGGUGCCAGGCCACACGGGCGUGGCAGAGCUCCCGCCCCCCACAAGGAUCUCCUUGCCUCCUGGCCACUCACGGGCUCCCUCACUUUCCCUGGCGGGGAGCUGGCCUGCCCUCCAGCCCACUCAGGGGUCUGUCCUCUCUAUGGAGGCAGCAUCUGGGCCUGCCAGGGGAGCCAGCCCGAACGGCCUGCCUUGAGACCACACAGAAGGAGCAAAGCACGCUGCCCUCUGCCCAGUGCCAGCCCCGCCUAUGACCCCUUCUCCAGCCAUUCGGGGAAGGCAACCCAUGGAGGAGGCCACCCCGCACUCAGGCCGAGGCUCCCCAGCAAAGUGGGGUCCCAGGGCCUCAGGGACUAGUUUCACUUCUCCCAGAUGAGCACCAGUGACACAGCCACAGCCCGACUUUGUUAAUUUAGCAAGAUUUAGGGGACAUAACCCACACUAUCGUUUUAUGAGAGAAAAGCGGUUCUGGUAUCCGCAUCCUACAGAAAACCUAGAGUAACCGCCAGCUUGUUGAGCAGAACAGACGCUGUCUUUUCUAGCUGUUGUGCUUUGUCCCUUUGAAGGCCACCCAUGAAAAUCCCUCUCAGGGGGGAUCCGAGAGCUGCCUCGAGCAGGCUGGCCAGCCCCAGGCCCUGCCCCGUGGCCGCACUGGGAGGACAGGGCUCCGGCUCCAGACCCUCUGCCUGCAGGCCCCACGCCCCGGGCAGUACACCCAGGAGGCGGGUGUCCUGCUGGGCGCAGGCCUCUGCUCUGGUGGGUCUGCCUUCCCGAAGGCCCCGACCCGCUCUGGGCCCGGUCAGCAGCACUCCUUGCUGGGAGAUGCCAGAGGGGGCCCCUGUGUGACCUUGGGUGGGUCCCUUGGGCUGCUGGACAGCCUCCUCUGAGAGAGAGGUGACCCUGGGGGGGCCCAGGACCCCACUGCCGUGGGCAACCCAUCCUGCAACACUCUCCAUGGAAGGCGUGACCCAGCUCCCCCAAGGCUGAACCCCAAGCUCUCGUGCCCCCGAGCUGCUCCCCGAGUGCCGCCUCCUCCUGGGCACCUGGUCCAGGAACAGCCCCAGAGCUGGAACACUCACCCUCAGCUGCGCCCCAGGCCGGGACAGCGCUGGGCGUCUCAGCAGCCGACCACCGUGCCCCGCGCGGGCCGAGGGGGGCCGGCCGGGGUGGGCACCACCGGACGCCUGGCUUUCGCAGACCAGGUUGGCCGAGCGACUCCUCAGCCCCCUGCUGGCGUCACUCCCACUUUCCCCUGGAAAUGGGCCCCUUGCACCCAUGUCACAGCCCCGUGAGGCCCAGGGGCAGCGCGGCGAAGGCCAGGGCCCUGGAGGGUCAGGCAGCGGCAUCCUCCACACCCAGAGGGCGCGGAGGAGGUGCGGGCGCAGCCCGGAGACGUGCGGGGGCAGGAGCGGGGGUGCCCAGCCCAGCGCAGCCACCUUCCCUCGGGGUCGGCGCUCACACCCCGGGGAGCUUAAGGCUUUGGAGCGGGACCCUGUGACGGGCCAUCAGAGACUCGGCUUUGUGCGGCCCAGGCUGUCGGAGCAAAAGCCGGGAAGCUCCCAGCGGCUCCCGCGGGGAGAGGGAAGUGCGGCGGCCUUCCUGCGGGUCACACGCGGGGGUGCCGCGAGCAAGGGGCCGAAACCCCAAUGCAGAGCUGAGCCCGCCCCCCGGCUGGCACACGCUGAUGUGCUCGGGGGCCAUGACACAGGGCUCCCGAGGCAGCGAGGGACAGGCCCCAGCACCAUCCCGCACCCUGGCCCUGCCGACCCCGCCGGGCUCACCUGGGGAGAUUCCUGUCCCUGCCGCAUGUCCCGACCCCUGCAGGCACCAGGGGCAGGUGGAGGCUGGACGCGGGGGCACCGUUUGUCCCAGCCUGUCUCUUCCCCCAGGGGACAGCUGGCCCAGGGCGCUCCUGGGGGCCUCUCAGCCACGUGCCUGCGGAAGGGGCUUCCGUCAGGGUAUGUGAGGGGCCAAGGGGCAGGGCUGGUGGGCUUGGAGCCACCAGUGGACAAGCCCCGCCAGGAGCCCACACCCAGGGCAGGGCGUGAUUUACAACAGGCACUUGACCAGCCACCCAGCGCUGUCACCUCCCCGGCUCUGCCCUGGGGCCUGCCUUGCAGGGGCCAGGAGGGGCUGGGGAGGACAGGCCUGCCCUCAGCAGAGGCAUCAGGGAGAAAAAGGAGGCCCGGUGGCUCUGGGGUGGGCCCACCUGGCAGGCCGAGGGGUGGGGCGGGCUGGGCACCAUGAGCAGUGGGACAGGUGGGCUCCCAGCACUGGCCAGGUCCAUGGAGGAGCAGAUCGGGGGUGCUGCUGUGGGCACUAUCACCACGGUGACGUCAGGUGAGUGCAGAGCAGCCAUGACCAGGGUGUACUCACCUGCCCCCAGCAGGCCUGUUCUAGAAUGUUCUAGAAGCUAACCCCACAGCGCUAUCCUCAGGCCCCUCACUGCCUUUCUGAGAAAAAACACUGGAAAUGACCUAAAUGUCUAUCUAAGGGUCAUUAAAUAAGCCCCUGAGGGGUUUAUGAGGAAGCUUCU
Molecule: long non-coding RNA, 4344 nt
Filed under: Sus scrofa (pig)
Lineage: Eukaryota; Metazoa; Chordata; Mammalia; Artiodactyla; Suidae
Description: lncRNA (ENSSSCG00045013307.1)
Source: RNAcentral